UUUCCUACGGGGGGCAGCAGUGGGGAAUAUUGCACAAUGGGGGAAACCCUGAUGCAGCGACGCUGCGUGAGUGAAGAAGUAUUUCGGUAUGUAAAGCUCUAUCAGCAGGGAAGAUAAUGACGGUACCUGACUAAGAAGCCCCGGCUAACUACGUGCCAGCAGCCGCGGUAAUACGUAGGGGGCAAGCGUUAUCCGGAUUUACUGGGUGUAAAGGGAGCGUAGGUGGCAGGGCAAGUCAGAUGUGAAAACCCGGGGCUCAACUCCGGGAGUGCAUUUGAAACUGUUUCCCUUGCGUGUCGGAGAGG
This 305-nucleotide ribosomal RNA is filed under the name uncultured bacterium. RNAcentral describes it as "bacterial SSU rRNA". It matches the Rfam family "Bacterial small subunit ribosomal RNA", at positions 335 to 657 of the family's 1533-position model. The record is from RNAcentral.